Molecule: small nuclear RNA, 163 nt
Organism: Cebus imitator (Panamanian white-faced capuchin)
Lineage: Eukaryota; Metazoa; Chordata; Mammalia; Primates; Cebidae
Gene: U1
Rfam family: U1 spliceosomal RNA
About the family: U1 is a small nuclear RNA (snRNA) component of the spliceosome (involved in pre-mRNA splicing). Its 5' end forms complementary base pairs with the 5' splice junction, thus defining the 5' donor site of an intron.
Source: Ensembl
AUACUUAACCCGACAGGGAGAUACCAUGAUCACGAAGGUGGUUUUCCCAGGGCGAGGCUUAUCCAUUGCACUCCGAAGGUGCCGACCCCUGUGAUUUCCGUAAAUGUGGGAAACCUGACUGCAUAUUUGUGGUAGUGGGGGACUGCGUUCGUGCUCUCCCCUU